GUCUGUACCUCAGUGGCAGAGCACCUGCUUGGCAUGCAGAAGGCCCUAGGUUCAAUCCUUGACAUCUACA
Molecule: transfer RNA, 70 nt
Filed under: Sphaerodactylus townsendi
Lineage: Eukaryota; Metazoa; Chordata; Lepidosauria; Squamata; Sphaerodactylidae
Description: tRNA-Ala
Source: RNAcentral